This 406-nucleotide ribosomal RNA is filed under the name uncultured bacterium. RNAcentral describes it as "partial 16S ribosomal RNA". It matches the Rfam family "Bacterial small subunit ribosomal RNA", at positions 28 to 526 of the family's 1533-position model. The record is from RNAcentral.
GAUGAACGCUGACAGCAUGCUUAACACAUCAGCAAUUGAUUGGUGGCGGACGGGUGAGUAACGCGUAAAGAACUUACCUCCCAGUUAGGGUCAACAUUUGGAAACGAAUGCUAAUACCUAAUACUGUGGGAGAGCUUUGCGUCCCAUUCGCUAGUUGGAGAGGUAACGGCUCACCAGGGCGAUGAUGGGUAGCCGGCCUGAGAGGGUGAUCGGCCACAAUGUGACUGGGACAGGGCCCUUACUGCUUCGGGUGGCAGCAGUGUAGAAUAGUGACCACUAGACCGAAGUCUGAUCCAGCUAUUCUGUGUGCACGAUGAUGUUUUCGGAAUGUAAAGUGGUGUCAGUUGGGGAGCGGUACCAACAGAAGAAGUAACGGCUAAAUACGUGCCAGCAGCCGCGGUAAUAC